GUGCUAGACUCCUACGGGAGGCAGCAGUGGGGGAUAUUGGACAAUGGGGGAAACCCUGAUCCAGCGAUGCCGCGUGAGGGAAGAAGGUUUUCGGAUUGUAAACCUCUGUGGACAGGGACGAUAAUGACGGUACCUGACUAAGAAGCCCCGGCUAACUACGUGCCAGCAGCCGCGGUAAUACGUAGGGGGCAAGCGUUAUCCGGAUUUACUGGGUGUAAAGGGAGCGUAGACGGCUGUGCAAGUCUGGAGUGAAAGGCAUGGGCUCAACCUGUGGACUGCUUUGGAAACUGUGCAGCUUGAGUGUCGGAGAGGCAAGUGGAAUUCCUAGUGUAGCGGUGAAAUGCGUAGAUAUUAGGAGGAACACCAGUGGCGAAGGCGGCUUGCUGGACGAUGACUGACGUUGAGGCUCGAAAGCGUGGGGAGCAAACAGGAUUAGAUACCCCUGUA
Molecule: ribosomal RNA, 447 nt
Filed under: uncultured bacterium
Lineage: Bacteria
Description: bacterial SSU rRNA
Rfam family: Bacterial small subunit ribosomal RNA
Source: RNAcentral